GAUUAACGCUGGCGGCGUGCCUAACACAUGCAAGUCGAGCGGCAGCGAGUUUUACACUGAAUUCUGGAAGCUUCUAGUUGAAAGAGAAGAUUUAUUCAAGAAUUUUGUGUAAAAUGUCGGCGAGCGGCGGACGGCUGAGUAACGCGUGGGAACGUACCCCAAAGUGAGGGAUAACGCAUCGAAAGGUGUGCUAAUACCGCAUAUGGUCUUCGGAUUAAAGCCUUCGGGCGCUUUGGGAACGGCCUGCGUAAGAUUAGAUAGUUGGUGGGGUAAUGGCCUACCAAGGCGGCGUUCUUUAACUGGGUUGGGAGGCUGAUCAGUCAGACUGGAACUGAGACACAGUCCAGACUCGUACGGGAGGGAGCAGUGAGGAAUCUUCCACAAUGGGCGAAAGCCUGAUGGAGCAACGCCGCGUGCAGGAUGAAGGCCUUCGGGUUGUAAACUGCUUUUAUAAGUGAGGAUUAUGACAGUAACUGAUGAAUAAGGAUCGGCUAACUACGUG
This 502-nucleotide ribosomal RNA is filed under the name uncultured bacterium. Its description in RNAcentral is "partial 16S ribosomal RNA". It matches the Rfam family "Bacterial small subunit ribosomal RNA", at positions 28 to 507 of the family's 1533-position model. The record is from RNAcentral.